CAGAAAUGUGUUCGUAAGACAUAAGUUUGUCUUAUAAGCUUAAGUACCAUGACUUUAUUACACAAGAACAGACAAGCAUUUUAAUGAUAUUGCAAUACAAUAUUGGCAAUCUUCCACAUUCUAACCAAGUGUCAUGAAAUAGAUCUAAGCUUUGUCAGUGGGGAACAAUGCCAUAAACAUGGGCCUGCACUCCAUCCUAGAACACUUGAAAAUGCAGAACCGAAUGUAAUAGCUUAAAAGCAUAGGCUUAACUAACUAUGUUGAGGAAGGGAAUGGGAGUGUUAUCCCUUCCUUCUAGCCACAACCAAAGCCCUGAAGGAUGCAUUUCCUGCACUAACAAUUGUCCAGGCGUCAUUACAUACAUACUGAUAAGUCAUUACACACAUACUGAUACAUCACUGUGAAAUAUGCAUUGCAAACAAUGUAAUCCGGACCCAAAAGCAUUCCAUACUGUUGCAUUUUAGCUCUGCAUUUCAAAGACUAGUAAACAUGACCAUCAUUUGAGUUGGAUUUCCUAACUCCGUGAACAGUUCAGCCGAUGUGGCUGUAUUUUCCCAUUGCCUUGUUUGAUUUACAGGGUUAGGGGUUAGCUGUACUAUACGCAGCUACUGAUGAUUUUACCCAGGAUAUCCUCAACUAACCUUUCUUGUCCUUGGCCAGAUUCAUUACCCAGUCUAGUGGGUGGCAGUCUGUGUCUCUAACCCCUACACUAUUUAACAAUGGGGGAGUCAGUCACUCACUCAGUCAGAGACAUUCACUCUUCAUGGCCGGCACCGCUUACACGUUCCUGCAGAAAUGUGUUCGUAAGACAUAAGUUUGUCUUAUAAGCUUAAGUACCAUGACUUUAUUACACAAGAACAGACAAGCAUUUUAAUGAUAUUGCAAUACAAUAUUGGCAAUCUUCCACAUUCUAACCAAGUGUCAUGAAAUAGAUCUAAGCUUUGUCAGUGGGGAACAAUGCCAUAAACAUGGGCCUGCACUCCAUCCUAGAACACUUGAAAAUGCAGAACCGAAUGUAAUAGCUUAAAAGCAUAGGCUUAACUAACUAUGUUGAGGAAGGGAAUGGGAGUGUUAUCCCUUCCUUCUAGCCACAACCAAAGCCCUGAAGGAUGCAUUUCCUGCACUAACAAUUGUCCAGGCGUCAUUACAUACAUACUGAUAAGUCAUUACACACAUACUGAUACAUCACUGUGAAAUAUGCAAAACAUGUGUCUAAUGGCUACUCGGCAUCAAAACAGUCAUUUCUACCCUGCGGGCUGGCUGAACUGGGCCUGCUUAGUUUUUAUUUCAGGUUUCUUUCAAUGUUUAGAUUCAGUUUUUCCAUUUUCUUUGAGUCUGUCCCCUACAAGCAGGGCCGGCUCCAGGCAUAAGUGACAUAUGCAGUUGCUUAGGGCCCCCGACCACUAGGAUGCCCCCGACUGCUAGGGAGCCCCCGACUGAUUGAGGAGAGGGGGACCCAAAUUAAAUUUUGCUCAGGACCCCCACAAAGAAGCUAGAGCCGGCAAUGCCUACAAGCCUACUGGUACAGUGUUGGGAAUCUAACCCUAGUAGCCCAUCUUCUAACCUCUCUAUACAUUGACCAGGCUAUAUAUGUAUCCCAGCUUUUUUGGUCUUUGCAAGUAGAUAAUUGUAUGCUUGUAACCUGGACACGGCAUGUUAUUCUCUCUGGGGCAGCUGACUGUUUAGACAUAAUGGUGGGUCUGGGGAAUCCAAAAUACUUUGCUAUUGUUCAUGCUCCAAAACAGGUAUACACAGAUAAGCCAGAACCUGACCACCUGCCUAAUAUGCUGUUCGUCCUGCUUGUGCCACCAAAACAGCACCAACCCUCAAAGGCAUGGACUCUACAUUACCACUGAAGUUGUCCUGUGGUACAGUAUCUGGCGCUAAGACAUUAGCAGCAGAUCCUUCAAGUCCUGUAAGUUGUGAGGUGGAGCUGCCGUGGAUUGGACUUGCUGGUCCAGCACAUCCCCCAGAUGUUCAAUUGGAUUGAACUGUCCAUCAUGUUCCUGAAACCAUUCCUGAACAGUGUGUGCAGUUUGGCAGGGUGCAUUAUCCUGCUGAAAGAGGCCACCGCGGCUCUGCAACCCCAUACGCAUCAGGGUGCGAUGCACUGUGUGUUGUGACACAUUCCUCCCAUAACCACCAUUAAUAUGUGACUUGGGCCACGGUUCGGACCAGACGGGAUAGCCUCUGUUGCCCUUGCACAUUGAUGAUUCUUGGGCACCCAAUACCCUGUCGCUGGUUUCUGGCUUGUCCCUCCUCGGACCAGUGUCGGUGGGUACUCACCACUGCAGACCGGGGGAACCACACAAUCCAUGCCAUUUCAGAGAUGCUCUGACGCAGUUGUCUGGCCUUAACAAUUUGGCCCUUGUCAAAGUCGCUCCUCCUGCCUGUUAGUCUUUUCUCCUGCCCGUUUUUCCUGCAUUUAACACGUUGACUACACUGCAAAACAUUUCUUUAAAAAAUAGGAAAACUUAAACUUAACUAUGUCUGAGGAGAUAAAUGACUGAAAUAAUCUGCCAAUGGAACAAAGCAAAUUGAUAUCCAAGGCAUAUUUUCUAAUACCAAGCAAUAUUAUCUAACACAACUUCAGCUUGUUCAAAAACAUUUACCUUAUUUUAAGGAUGGUUAGAUUUUUUUAACCCGACAACAAGAUAAAUAUAUUUCUUAAGACAUUUUUUUUUGCAGUGUACGAGAAUUGAUUGAUCACUUGCCAUCUAAUCUACCAAGACCUUGACAUGUGCCCUUGUUAGGAGAUGAUCAAUGUCAUUUGCUUCACCUGUGAGUGCUCGUAAUGUUUUGGCUCAUCAGCGUAUAACGCUCGCCCUUUCCUUUACACUCAGUGACUGACUAAACAAGUGGGACUAAUGACUCCCUUCUAUAGAGUAGCACUUAUGAAACAGACCGUGCCCCAUAUGUAACAUGUAUGUGUAUUCCACCACUACUCACCCGCCGCAAUAUGUGCUGUGUUUAUAUGCGCUGUGUGAGUGUAUGCAUUCUGUUUAUAGCACCACCACUUAUGAUCUAGAGCUAUGCAGUCUGUGUGUGUGUGUUUGUAUGAACAUCUGUGACAGUACAGUAUAUACCAGAAUAUAGGUGGGGUUGAAUGUUGGGGUUGGGGGGGCAUUCACAUCACUUAAACAUAGAUCUCCAAUAUAACAGACAUGUCUUUCCUAUACAACGUGUCACACUCCCUGCAUGUAUGAGGCUGGAGCCAUCCAUUAUCUCUGCGCAGAAAUGGGCUAAAAUCAUAUUUUCACUGGGCUUGACUGAACUUGCCGUCAUGGAACUAGUGGAAUAAUCACAAGUGUCGACCCCAUCCAUCUAAAGCAGAUUUUAAACACAUUCCUAAACUAUUGUAAAUAUAUCAAAUACUAUUUAAAACCAGGUCUGUACAAAAUAGCAAGCCCCUGCUUUGGAGAGCAGGGCGAUAUGAUGCAUUAACCAGGGUUAGCCUUUGCAGCUGGAGUAUAAAACAGGUGUUAGCUGCCAGUGUGCGUGUGCGUGUGUGUGUGUGCGUUUGUGUGCGUGUGUGUGCGCGUUUGUGUGCGUGUGGGUGGCUGUGCGUAAUUCAGCUCUGUGUGUUCAUGUGGAAAAGAUACUAAAAGAUAGUAAAAACUGAACAAUUACUUACCACAAAGAUUAUUUUUGGCAGGUAUGUGAUUUCUGGCUCAGGGCUUAGGUUUCAGGAAAAACAUGCAAUUGAGCAUAGUGUUAACACUGGGUUUGAUUUGAGGUUUAUGCAUCACUGGUUAUGUUCAAGUGAUAGGGAGCUAUGUUAGGUUUAGUUCAAGGUUAGGAUAAGGGUUCAUUUUAGGACUAGGAACCAUGAAUAUCUGGUCAGGUUUUGGUCUUAGGUCCCCACAAGGAUAGAAAGAAAAAGCUGUGUGUGUGCGUGUGUCUCUUUUUCUGUGUGUACGUUAUACUACAUUGGUCGGGACCAUACACCCCAGCAAGGAUUGCAAAACAAGAAAAAUGCUACCUCAUGUUGAAAGUCCCCCUGAGAACAAAGAAUAUUUUCAGCUUAGGUUAGAAUUGGGGUUAGAGUUAGAAUUAGGGUUUAGUGGUUAGCGAGAAUCUGAUUUUUGAAUUGGAAUAACUGUUGGGUUACCCAUAAGGAUAGUAAAGCCUAAAAUAUGUGUGUGUGUGAGUGUGUGUGUGUAAUGUGGGUCCCAGUGGAGAAGAGUCUAUCGAUGUCAGCUUAAUCAGUCAGCCACAACCUAAGCAAAACGUCAAGUAGACGGAGGGUUCAGGCAAUCUCCCUCACAGUGGCUGGUUACGGGAUUGGAUGUAUGGAAGAGAAAUGGACAUACUCUUGACUUGCUUUUAGCCGUGUGUAUGCACACGCUGACCUAGGCACCUGCUCAGUGUUAGGUUAGGUGUGACCAAGUGUGCAUCCUCUACACAUCACAGUGCACUACUUAAGGCUAUUAGCCUUACAGGGCUCUGGUCAAAAGUAGUGAACUAUAAAGGGAGUAGGAUGCCCUUUGGGAUGUAACCCAUGUGUCAAAAUAUACAGGGGUUGCAGCCUGGCUGUAAGUAGUUGAGCUUUACAGCCUGCUGCAGGCCUAUGCAUGGUUUUUAUUGUGCUUACAUUGGGGAUCUGUAAGACGUGGUGUAGGCUAGCUGAGCGAAUUACACUCUUAGUAAUGUAAUGCUAACGUCAUAUGGUACGCUAACUCACUAUCUCUGCCCCCUCUCCUCUGUUGCUGCCACAAAGAUAGGCUAAUCCAUCCACACUGGUGGCUAUUAUGACAUUCCUGUGUUCAGUGUUGAAUGAAGAGCGACCACAAGAACAUGGGUAAAGGGCAGCGUGGGUCGUGAGAAUGGACUAAUCUUAUCUUAUUGCCUCUCACUUCACUUUUUUAAGAGAAUAAUCUUCUCCACUGCCAUCUCCCCUUUUACGACCAUGACAUGAUAUGCACACCUCUCUUUAUCCCCUAUGUCUCUCUCUCUUCCUUUCACGCUGCCUCUCUUUUCCCAACCAUAGUCUCUUAUCUACUUUCUUUCUUAAAAUCUAUCAUCACUCUCUCUCGUUCCCUCUCUCUCCCAUCCCUCUCAGCUAUAUAGAGUUCCUUUUCCACAGCUCCAUUCAGUGGGUUCCUCCAGUCUAAAGGAUCUGUCUUCUUGGCACAGAUGCCCUGUCUCUGCUCCAAAUCAAGCCCUAUUUCCUUUGCAGUGCACUACAUUUAACUAGAGCCCAUAUGGGUUCUUGACAAAAGUACUGAACUACAUAGGGAAUAGGGUGUCAUUUGGGAUACUAGCCCUGACUGAACUCCGGAGGUGACAUCAUCGCCCAGCACCAUGUGACCUGCUGUGGGCAAACCUUCCCAUGCUGGUUCACACCAGGAUUACAGUUCAACUCUCUCUCUCACCAUCUCUCUUUCUCACACCCUCUCUCCAUCUCCAGAUCUCUUCUAGAGAGACAAGUCCUAGUUCAACCUAAUUUCUUUAUGGUUAUAUUACUGUUCCUGUAAACACAGAGCUAUAAUGUAGACUAUUGAAUAGUUCACCUUUCCGUGUGCACGUGUGUUUGUGUGUGUGUGUGUGUGUGUGUGUGUGUGUGCGUGUGUGUGUACAUGUGGAUCACAUGAGAUUAAGGCCUAUAUUAGAAAGUUUGUCCAGGUGGGGAAAACUCUCCACUAGGGGUGUGGGUUUCAAUGGACUGCCCACUAAGCGGUUAAGGUACAAUUCUGGAGACAAUGGUUUAAGGUCUAAAUCCUCUUAGUGAGGGCUCUGGCUGCAUUCCAUAUCCCCUAUAUAUUGACCAGCUGGUCAAAGGUAGUGCACUAAAUUAGGAAUAGUAUGACACUUGGGAUGCCUCUUGUGUAUGUACCAAGAACUGAGACGAGGCAUUCUGAUCCUGUUUAUUUUCCAGGCGUAAAGCUAGCAGGUUUCAGGAACUGAGAGCUCUGGUCAGAGGGCUGUGCUGUUGGAGGAUAGAGGUGCUCUGGUCAGAGGGCUGUGCUGUGGGAGGAUAGAGGUGCUCUGGUCAGAGGGCUGUGCUGUGGGAGGAUAGAGGUGCUCUGGUCAGAGGGCUGUCCUGUGGGAGGAUAGAGGUGCUCUGGUCAGAGGGCUGUGCUGUGGGAGGAUAGAGGUGCUCUGGUCAGAGGGCUGUGCUGUGGGAGGAUAGAGGUGCUCUGGUCAGAGGGCUGUCCUGUGGGAGGAUAGAGGUGCUCUGGUCAGAGGGCUGUGCUGUGGGAGGAUAGAGGUGCUCUGGUCAGAGGGCGGUGCUGUGGGAGGAUAGAGGUGCUCUGGUCAGAGGGCUGUGCUGUGGGAGGAUAUAGGUGCUCGGGUCAGAGGGCUGUGCUGUGGGAGGAUAUAGGUGCUCGGGUCAGAGGGCUGUGCUGUGGGAGGAUAGAGGUGCUCUGCAGCGUGGCAGAGUCAUGGUGUACCAUGUUGAACUGUGACCUUUGCACUAGAGGCGUCCCGGCCUUGUGGUCUCUGUGGCACUUGGUUGGUUGUUAUUUAUGUCAGGACGGGAAUGGGAAACUGAUCCUCUUAACAGGCUGGAAUUGGCCCGUAUUCAGGAAGGUGUCACUGUCACAAUCGUACCUGGGGUUGGGAACCUGCAGAGAGAGAGAGAGAGAGGGAGGCGUGGGGGGCGGGAGAGAGAAAUGCCUGAACUUAAUAUGGCUUUGUUGUUUUGAAAAAUUACAGUACUCUGUGUAUUAUUGAAUUUUAGAGUAGGAGAUGGAUACAAGCAGAUUAGCAGGUAGGGUUUCAGAAUAGGACAAUAAAUUAAGAUACUAUAGCGGACUGCACAGUACAAUGCUUUACUACAGUAUCUAAUGGACUGGAUUGGUUUUUCAGCCCUCAGUGACGGGAACCAUUUAGAUUCAUGUAUGAUAACCAAUCAUAUUUAGUCCCUGGGUGCUGCUGGUUAGUCCUUGUUCUGCUGUAGCAAACUGGACUGACCAAUAAUCAUGGGUCUCCCAAAUGACAAACUAUUCCCUUCAUUAUGUGCUACUUUUGACACCCAGAGAGAACAGGUACAUCCCAACAAACCUCUCUGCUCCAGCCUUGUUCUCUCCACUCCUUCUCUGUCCAUCUCUACAUGCCCACAACUAAACCAGUAUUCUUAACUAAUCCACAGUCAGUUUCAAAAUUGUUGUCUGAAGAUUUUUUGGAACCUCCUCUCCCUCUUGCUCCCUCUCUACUCUCUUGCUUCCAGAUGUUUCUAUAACCACGUGUUAACUAUAAAAAGAGAAGCAGCCAGGCCAAGAUAACACUCAUUCAAUUGAUUUAUCGGAAGCAAAUACUAUCACUCUGUUUUAUUUUAAAGAGGAGUCCUCCAUUUCCCCAAAACCAAUCAAUAACGAAUGGUUCGUUUUAUUGGGCAUGUACAAUGAAUGUGUAAUAAAUCUCAGUUGAAGUUGACACAACAUUGACAAAACGUCUGUAAAAUAGAGAAUGGCUCGUAUUACAAUGUCAUUGUAAUGCAGUACCAGCCUGUAUCCGCACCAUAAAACCCACAUGAAUCCACAUCAGAGACAAUAUGGUUUACUGCAUCUAUACAAGAUGGUGUUCAACCCUGGGAAUUCAGAUACUGUCCAGGGAAACGUAACACACGGUACAUCACCAACUUAUUUUCCUAGAAAGCAAAAGAACAUACGAAGAAGAAAAGAACACACAGCAAAACGUUGUAAAAAAACUGUAAAAAUAAAACCCACAAAUAGAGAGUGGUUUAGAGCUAAAGUAACGAAAGGAAGGAAGGCUUGGACGCAUUCGCGACUUCCUGUUUGACGUCCCGCACUGCAACCCCAGGGCUGCUCGGUGCCGUCGUUGUGGCGCAGCACCUCGUGAGGAGGGAGUGCUAGAGUGCACCGCCCUCUAUGAAAUCUUAUAUCACCCCUGAAAAUACCCCUCUGGUAUCCCUGCGGCGGGGUUCAACUCCCGCAGUAAUGUGUCCAUGGUCUUCUAACUUAGGUCCAUACCAACUAACCCAUGUAGAACCCAAGUUACCAGACCAUCAGAGAGAAAUGUGGUCCCAGCACCAUGCGGCUAGACCAAGAGUUAAAUCUGUCUCUGCUGUGGCUGGGACCAGAACAGACCCCUGUAGUGCUACUUAUUAGGUUGACGUGAUGUGGAGUCACUAAGUCACUGAGUCAGAGCUGGAUCGGGCCGGGUCCCUGACAUGAUUGACGGUGUCUGUCUGUUCUGUCAGCACCCCCGCUGAGUUAGGGAGCUGCACAUGAUUUUCCUCAAAACCGAUUUCCCUCAAAACCAAACAGCUGGCAGCAGAUGCGAAUGGCUUGUGUGGGAGGAUUAUUUACGUGUUUCCCCAUAAAGCGAGGUCAGCGGCGGAUGCCAGAAUCACAUCUCAGUUAUUACCAUGGUGGGUUGGUCACCACGAGCCAAGAAAGCCAUGACUUGCGAUAAACACAAAAGUAAUUACAAUUUAAGGAGGCCUCUGUGUUGUUCCAAGCAACAAACGCACGAUACAGGCGGUGUGAAACGACAGCAUUUGGGUUCCACGUCAAUCUGUGUGUCUCCAGAGUUCAAUGUGUAUAUGCACCUGCAUGUGUCUUUGCAUAGCGUGUGUGCAUCCGGAGGAGUUUGGGUCGUAACUGUCCUCCUCACCUUGUCCGCGUUUAUGUUCUAUGGAAAACUUUCAGGUUGCAUCCCAAACGGCAGCCUAUUCCCUCUUGAAGACGUGAAGAGACUCUCUCUCAGUGCUUUCAUGACAUAGCAAAAUACACUUCUGGGUCAAAGAGUUCAAAGCUGAGAGCAAGCCAACUAACCCUGUCGCAAUGCCAAACAUCACAGGCUGUAAAACUGGAUAAAGGAUCUCCUUUCAUCUGAGCCGCAUUGGGCUUUCUUUACACGUAUAAAAAAAAAUAUCUCAGUUUACUAUAGUAUUCUGUAGUAAACUAUAAUUGCUAAAACAGCUGGUCAAACUAGCAAAAUGUGACAGAAUAUCACCAUUUGCGUCACAACGAAAUUUCAUUAACAUUUAUGUUCAUCACUCACCAUGUUAGGCCGUCAGAUGCUCCCCAAAAUAUGUCUUUGCAAAAACAAAUCAAUGAUAGUUAACUUGCUAACUCUUUCAUCAUUGGAACUGCAUUCACAGUAUCCAAUUUUGGUUUUUGUGUGGUAGUUGGUCAACAUUUCUGUAUAUUUGCACCAAGUAGAUUCUGUGCAUGAAAAUGUCCAAUAACUGUUCUAGCUAAUUGGAAAAUGAACUGCCAUUUUAGAAUACACUUUGGACGAAUUAAUGAAAGCUCCUCCACAAUUCUGUGGUACAACACAUCAUGGUAUUGUUCAAUCGUGUGAUGUACUUAAAUUACAGAAUUGUGCAGAAUACUUUAUAAUAUUAUAUUACACACUGCAGUAUCCCUUCAUCAUGUAGUGCUAGAACAUAGUAGUAUAUUGGAGAAUACUAUACUACAAACUGUGUUGAGGUAUAGGAUUUCCUGUGCAUUUGUCUCACCCCUCCUCCCCCAGUCUUUAUGACUAGACACUGUAAAGAGGGGUAGAAAGUUGCAACCAGGCUGGUAGCAAGGGGGAGCAAAACAGUUGAAAUUUCAGUGCAUUCAGUUUUACGUCCCAGUAUAAAAACAGAGAAGUUCAAAUCAUUUUUGGUGUAAAAUAUGUCAGCACAAUGGAAGAAGCCUUUGGAUUUGCGUAGUAUGGCAAAACAAAUGCUGCAUCUUUAACCAUAGUCUGUAAUAUUAGAUUUUUUAGGGCAGAAUCUAGUGAUGAAGCUGCUUCACUAAACUCAGUCUUACGUGCCUCCACAAAAGAGGUUACAUCCUAGCUUUCACUGUUAAACAUUAAUAAUAGUCAUCGGCCAUAGCCAAUUAUCCCGAACCAGCUAAUUUCUCACCACAAAAAUAGAUAUCAGAAAUUGGCAUUGCCGAAGUACCUUCAGUAUACAAAGGAGUAGGUGGGCAAGCAGUUGCAGCAGCGUUUAAACCGCUGAGGCAGAGCCCCGCCACAGCGAUAAGGCUGCCUUGUUCCAGCUAGCUCCGUAUGGAUUCUAUCUCCUGUUCCACAAGCGCAGCCAGGAGAAUGGCUCCACAGCUCCCCCAACCUCAGACUGUUCCCGGUGAUCUUAAAACAGAGGCACUAGCCUAAGUUAGCCUAGAUUUCUAUCUCAUAGCAGUCGGUUCAAAGCGCUUCUAUUGCUUCAUUGAUCACAUGAGAGUCAGAUCCACAGAUAUAUAUGGUUCCGUAUCAUAAUGUUGCUGAAUCUUCUGAGGGUCUGAUCUUCCACAUUUGAAGCAGGACUAUGGAUUGAAAUAGCAUGAUUCAUAAUCCCUGAAAAACCUUUCGGCACAACUGGAAGAGCAUCUCUUUGCAUGGUUGCACCCGUCAAUACUUCCAUGGGGGACAUGUAGAGUGGAAUUUCAAUACCUUCGGUUCAGUGUAGGCUUACCCCACCUCAGUGUUUUGAUGGCUAUGGAAAUACCUAUAGGACAAGUGGACUUCCAUCAAUGUUUGCUUAAUAUUAGCAGAGCUGUUCUGCCUGAAUGAAACACAGACUAUAUUUGAAGCCAUUCCAAAAUCAAUAUCACAUUUUAGAGUUUUUGGGGGAUGAUAAGGCAUUCAUUAUUAAGGUGAUAAGCCUGGUAUUUGGUAAGACUGUUGUCCAUGGCUGCAUCUCACUUCUUCAGGCCAUUACAUAGUGGUUAUUUGGAUGUUACUGUUUCGUUUGUUUAGUGUUAACCUAGCCUUUAGUCUCCUUUUGCAUAUUUGUGGCCUUUUUGUCUGCUUGAAUGAGUCUGGUCAUUCUCCUCUGACCUCUCUCACUAACAACUGCCCACACAACUGCAGCUAUUUGGAUGUUUGUUGUUUAUCACCCAAUUUUCUUUAAAGUAAAGCAAUUGCAGUGAGUGAAAAUCCCAGGAGGUCAGCCAUUUGUAAGAUGCUUGAACAACUACGUCUGGCACCAACAAUCACACAACGGUCAAAGACGCUUAGAUUCCUUUCCAAAAAAGUUCUCUUAAUUUUAACCCUUCUUUUCCACACUGAAAACCUACCUUUUCGACUUUUUUGGAAAGGAAAGAAAAAGAUGCUGUGGUCUCUUAAUUUUUUGUAUGUUGAGUUGCAGCCCCAUGAUUUGCUGUUUGGCUAUUGGUGUUAACACACAAUAGUACAUAAUAAAGUGACUGGUGAGACUAGCUGUGGUAUAAUUGUACUGUUCUGUUUUGUUAUUUUCUAAAUUAUUCUUCAGCAUCUAAACUGCUAUUCAGAAUUUCUGUCUGUGUGAAUUUACCCCACUUUCAGUGUUUUGUUCAAUUGUUCUGGUAAGCCAACUCUGCCUAUAGCUGCAUUAACAUUGUUUGAAAUUAGUAAAUGACUCUUUGUUUGCUGUCCUUGGUGUGUUGUUAUGAUGGGGCUACACAUUUCAGGACACAUUUUCACCUCAAAUGUAUUCAGUGGUCUCAGCAUUUGAACUUCAGUAGAGUGACAAUAAGCAGAAUUCAAUGCAAUUCCAAUGCUAGAACUGAAAAUAAUGUGACCCCAUGCUGAUUUGAACUGCCCUCUCCGUUCAUCCAGCAGCCAUGCCUGGUUGCAGCCCUGAACUGACACUUACAAGUCUCAAGUUUCUUUCUCACAAAACAGCAGAAGAGCUGAACUUUUAACCCUUCAGUCCAUACAGUAGUCCUGUUUUCUAACAGGUUUUGGAACACAUGUUCUUUUAGGAUUGCUUUUCCAGACUCAGAUUAAAAAUAACCCCUACUGAGAUUUUCCACUGAGCCUGAUCUUUUGACAGGGCUAGACUGAAUCUGAAGUCAGGUGUCUGCGUUGCCUUCAGAACAACCUGAAUGUUUUGUUUUCUGGAUUCUACAAGGUUGGGAAAUGCUCCACAGGGAUGCUGAUACACAUCACUGACAUGACCGUGUUACACCGUUGCUGGAAGUUGGACGUCAGAAUAUUCAUAAAAGCUCUAUUUGCUUUAAGUCUGGUGACUGCGCAGGCUAUUGAAGUUAACUGAACUUGUUGUCAUGUUCCUGAAACCUUCUGAAGCAACACAAACAUUGUGACAUGUGCCACAUAUUCUCAAUGUAUCCACGUGGCACUGGGUAAACUGUGGCCAUGAAGGGUUUCACCAAGUCAGACAAACCGGCACUAAAAUGUUGCUCAAUUUGUAUCAAGGGACCUACAAUAUGCCAAGAAAACAUUCCCCACACAUUACACCAUCACCAGUACCGAUGACACCAGGCAAAAUGGAUCCGUGGUCUCAUGCUGCUAACGCCAAAUCCUGAAUCACCAACAGGAACUGGGAUUCAUCAAACCAAAGCAAUGCUUUUCCAAUCCUCAACUUUCAAGUGUAUGCGAUCACCUCCCUACUACAUCUGCUUCUUCUGCUGUUAGCCGAUAGGAGUGGACCUGGUGUGGUUGUCUGUUGCAGUAGCCCAUCAGCACCAAAGAACAUUCACGUCCUGGCAUGGCAGGUUGCCAGCUACUAGUGAGAUGCAAUGCCCUCUCUUCCUCACUUGGAUCAUGGACACCACUUUUGCUGUUUAUUGCCCUAACCUAUUUCCCUAAUUGCUGUCCCUAUUUAAGUUUCUCUUUUCCUAGUGUGUCUUGUCGGUCUUUGUUUUGGUUUCAUCCAUUUGUAAUGUUGUUCUUCCUCUGGGAUUUUGUAUUUGUUUGGUACAUUUGCGUUACUUUAUUAAAGGUCUUCCGUUCUCCCGGCACGUGUCCUGCUUCAUCGUUCAACGUUGCAGGCCCAGUGAGUUAAGGUUAGUUUCAGCUAUGUCAUUCAUCUGCGCAUCACUGUUUACCUGUGCAGUUAUUAUUAAUAUUACUGAGCCUGUUUGUGGCCACAAUCCACGCCAUUCUCUUUCGACCUCUGCAACACUAAUAGCACACAUGCUUGAGCUAGCUAGCAUAACUGGAUAUGUUUUGAAGGAGAGGGGUUUUGCGUCUGUAUAGGUAAAAGUUCGAUCUUAUUCCAGUUAGUUCUGUAUCCAGACAUGGUACCAAACAAAUUAAUCAAGUAGAACAGGAAUAUUAGAGUGGGGUUUAGGUACAUAAAGGUUAUUGUUAUAUACUUAAAGAGACGUUUAGUGUUUUUAGUAUUUUAGCCAUGUGUUGCUACAUGAGAUCUUAUGGCUUGAGCUAGCAGCAUGAUGGCCAGAGAUAGACAAAGAGGUGAAAGUGUAAAACUCUGCCUCAUCCAUCAAUGGAGUUUAAAUUGCUGUGACAGUGAUUGAUUGAUAGAUUGGUGAGUAUUUGAGUGCAAUAAUUAUGGUAUAGAAGUUGGAUCCAUAUUAUAAAUCUGCCUGCAAUCUUACAUCAUUGUAGGACAACAAAUAAGCAUUUAUUCAUGCUAGGGCGGACAUGUGCGAAUCUCUUAAAAGCAUAAACCCUCGCAAGGCUCCUGUUCUGGACAAUAUCCCUGGCCUCAAGGUACGUGCUGACCAACUGGCUGAUAGUCCCCAAGUUUCAAGGAGACCACCACUGUCCCUGUCCCCCAAGAAAAGUACUCUGCCCAAACAUCUCCUGCCCUAGAGCACUAACAUCCCUAGUCAUGACGCGCUUCAGCGGUAAGUCUAAGGACAUAUCACCACCUCCCUACCCUCAUCUUUAGAUCCACUACAAUUUUCUUGGAGACCAAACUUGCCCUCCACUCUGCCGCCUCUCAUCUGGACCGAAGGAAUACAUAUGUGAGAAUGCUGUUUGUUGGUCGUAGUUCAGCAUUCAACUCAAUUGUGCCCCACAAGCUCGUGGUGAAGCUCAGGGAUCUGGGCCUCCACACCGGCCAGUGUCCGCGGACCUCAGGUCGUUCGGAUGGGCAGCUCCACCUAAUCCACACUGACUCUCAGCAUGGGCGUCCCACAAGGCUGUGUGCUCAGUCCCCUCCGGUACUCCCUGUUCAAGCAUGACUCCGGGCCCCCGCACUCCUCUGACAUCACUGAGAAGUUCGCAGACGACACCACUGUCAUUGGCCUGAUCUCCGAUACUGAUGAGACUGCCUAAAGAGAGGCAAUCAGAAUCUUGUCAUCAUUGUGUCAGGAUGACGACCUCCAGCUUAACGUCAGCAGAACGAAGGAGCUGAUUGUGGACUACAGGACAGGAGGAAACGGGGGAAGCCAUGCCCCUAUCCACAUCAAUAGGCCUGCAGAGGAGAGAGUCUGCAGCAUCAGGGUCCUCCGGGUCAGAGUCAGCGACAUUCUGUCCUGGUCUCUCUAUUCCAACAUCGUUAUCAAGGAGGCAAGGAAACGUCUCUUCUUCCUAAGCCGACUAAAGAGGUGGACUCCACGAGGAGUGGACUCCAGGAUACUCACCAACAUCUACAGGUGCAUCACUGAGAGUAUCCUGACGGGCUGUAUCUCCACCUCCACAGUAUCCUGACUGGCUGUAUCACCGCCUCCACAGUAUCCUGACAGGCUGUAUCACCGCCUCCACAGUAUCCUGACUGGCUGUAUCACUGCCUACACAGUAUCCUGACUGGCUGUAUCACAGCCUCGUAUGGCAGCUGCACUGUCCUUGACCAAAUGGCUCCAUAGAGGGUGGUCAAGAUGAUUCACCUGGAGGGACCGGCCAUCUCUGCAGGACUUGUAUAGGUAUACACACAGGUGCAGGAAGAAGGCCCUACGCUUCAUCAGGGACCCAUGUCAUCAGGGACCCAUGUCAUCAGGGACCCAUGUCAUCAGGGACGGAUGUCAUUAGGGACCCAUGUCAUCAGAGACCCAUGUCAUCAGGGACGGAUGUCAUUAGAGACCCAUGUCAUCAGGGACCCAUGUCAUCAUGGACCCAUGUCAUUAGUGACCCAUGUCAUUAGGGACUCAUGUCAUCAGGGACCCAUGUCAUUAGGGACACAUGUCAUCAGGGACCCAUGUCAUUAGGGACCCAUGUCAUCAGGGACCCAUGUCAUCAGGGACCCAUGUCACCCCAACAUGAACUUUCUCCCUGUUUUGCUCUGGCAGGAGAUACAGGACCAUCCUGUCCACAACCAACAGGUCCCAGGAAAGCUUCUUCCCCCAGGCCUUAAGACUGUUGAAUCUUUGAACACAUUUAAUAAUGUACUAUUGCAAUAGAGGAAAUAACAUUACCAGAUGAAUGCUGGAACCUACCUAACGCUGCUUAGAAGAGUGACACAAUGAACACUUAUCAAUUUUAUUAUGUACUAAAUUUCUUCUUCUAUAUUGUUCUUAUUCUAUUUUUUAUUCUAUUAUAUUACUUAUGCCAGAAAUGUUGAGGGUGUUUUUGGAAAACAAGCAUUUCAUUAACAACAAUGCUGUUGCUAUUGUGUAGUGACAAAUAUACUUGAAUUUAUACACUCUGUGUAGACUACAUUUAGGUUAUCAAUUAUAAGAUCUGUAGCAGCAUUUCUCUUUCCUGGGGGCACCAAAGGCUUGCUUAGUAGUUUGCAUUUCACUGAUAUUCUGUUGAUGCUAAUUUGAUAUAAAAUCCUUUAGGUACCGUAUUUCUCUUGUGUUCUGGCUCUGCCUAUUUGGCCUUGCAUUAGGGAGGGAAUGAGUAAGUAAGGGAGUGAGUGAGGGAAUGAAUGAAUGAGUAAGUGCAUAUGUGACUGCAUAAUUGGAUAAGUAAGUUAAUUAGUAAGUGAUUGAGUAAGUGAAUAAAUUAGCAGGUGAGUGAGUAAAUGAAUGAGUUAAAGGUUGUUGGAAAUAUAAAAAUUGGUGUAAGCAUUGCGAUGAUGUCUCAUGCAGCUUGACAUUAAGUUUUUUCAGUUUAUUGAAAAAAUACAUUCCCUUUUUCUACCUUCAGGCAAUGCUCAAACCCUACAUACAUUUUCUAGCUUUUAGUUCCCAUUUGGUCUUUUGGCUGAACCACCCAACAGGGGGUCAGAUCUGCCAUUCAAUAGCCCUUUGCAGCCCAGAAGUGUAGCUGUCCCCAUACAGUGCCUUGUUGCAACUUACACAAUAAAUGUAUGUUGCUAAUACUAAACAUUGAUUUACUCUAAUCUUUUUUCUGUUCAUUACAUGGAAUGUUAAACGAGGACGUGUAACUGCAUUCUAGCAAUCUUUGUAAUAAAGCAAAUUCAUCGUGGUCAAUAUUUGUUUUUUAAAAGGAAAUUAUUUACAAUUAACUCAGAACUUUCACUUUUACUUUGUUACACAAACAGUUUUCACUUUGCCUUGAGUAAAUUGUCAUUAAAUUAAUAGUAUUUCCAUACUCUUUCCAUUUCUGGAAGUAUGUGGGUCUGUCCAAAAUAGGGCACUGCUUAUCCCUGGAGUUAAAUGGUGCCCUUUCAGGCUCUAUUCAAAAGUAAUGCACUCUGUUGAAAGGAACAAGGUGCCAAUUCUAUGUGCUGACAGGAGGACGAUGUACAAAAUCAAACACUCUGAGUUGAAAGUAAGAAGGAAACUAGAUACAUCUCCAUUGGCAGCAUUACUCUCCACAAACCUCAAAUGAUAAAUGUGUUAUGCAUGUGUCAUUGAGGGCGUAGUGACCUGAGGAACAGUGGAGCAGAGGAAGAGACAGGGAUAAGAAACACUGUGACUAUGUCUUAAAUGGCACCCUAUUUCCUAGGUAAUGCGCUAAUUAAGAGUUGGAGCUAACUGUACCAGUCAAAAGUUUAGACACACCACUCUAAUGAGGGGUAACUAUGUCGAAACGUUUGACUAGUACUGGAUAUGGUCCCUGGUCAAAUGCUGUUCACUAUACAUGGAAUAGGGUACCAUUUGGGAAACAUCCUUAACCCUGUAUUUUGUUUUAUUAUGUUUCCAAUUAUUGAUACGAUCAGAGCCAGAGAUAGAAUACUGCUGCUUCGUGAGAAUGGUCUACAGAGGAAUGCUGAGAAUGACAUUAAUUAUUUAUUUAAAAUGUUGAUGACAGGAUUAAACGCCUUCAGAUGAGAAACAGAGAGAGAUAGAAAUCUAGUUUUCUAGGAAUUCAUGCCAGCAGGGCUGAUGGAGAGACAGAGAGACAGAGAGACUGAGACGGAGACUUAGAAACUGAGAUAGAGACAGAUACAUGUGAACUGAGAAAGACGAAGAAAGACAGAGACAGAGAGAUACUGAAACAGAUGGAGAGGAGUGAAACUGACCAACAAAGACACUGACAGAAACUGACCAAGACAAAAGGACUGACAGAGACUGAAAAAGACAGAGAGACUGACAGAGACUGAACAAGACAUAGAGACUGACAGAGACUGACCAAGACAAAGAUGCCAGUAUAUAGGGAAUAGGGUGUUACAAUGUAGGGAGUAGGUUGUCACUAUAUAGGGUGUUACAAUGUAGGGAGUAGGUUGUCACUAUAUAGGGAGUUACAAUAUAGGGAGUAGGUUGUCACUAUAUAGGGAGUUACAAUGUAGGGAGUAGGUUGUCACUAUAUAGGGAGUAGGGUGUCAGUAUAUAGGGGGUAGCAUGCCAGUAAAUAGGGAGUAGGGUGUCAGUAUAUAGGGAGUAGGGUAUUAGUAUAUAGGUAGUAGGGUGCCACUGUAUAGGGAGUAACAUGCCAGUAAAUAGGGCGUAGGGUGUCACUAUAUAGGGCGUAGGGUGUCACUAUAUAGGGAGUAGGGUGUUAUUAUAUAGGGAGUAGGGUGUCACUAUAUAGGGCGUAGGGUGUCACUAUAUAGGGAGUAGGGUGUUACUAUAUAGGGCGUAGGGUGUCACUAUAUAGGGAGUAGGGUGUCACUAUAUAGGGUGUAGGGUGUCACUAUAUAGGGAGUAGGGUGUUACUAUAUAGGGAGUAGGGUGUUACUAUAUAGGGAGUAGGGUGUCACUGUAUAGGGCGUAGGGUGUCACUAUAUAGGGAGUAGGGUGUCACUAUAUAGGGCGUAGGGUGUCACUAUAUAGGGAGUAGGGUGUCACUAUAUAGGGAGUAGGGUGUUACUAUAUAGGGAGUAGGGUGUCACUAUAUAGGGAGUAGGGUGUCACUAUAUAGGGAGUAGGGUGUUACUAUAUAGGGCGUAGGGUGUCACUAUAUAGGGAGUAGGGUGUCACUGUAUAGGGCGUAGGGUGUCACUAUAUAGGGAGUAGGGUGUCACUAUAUAGGGAGUAGGGUGUCACUGUAUAGGGCGUAGGGUGUCACUAUAUAAGGAGGAGGGUGUCACUAUAUAAGGAGUAGGGUGUCACUGUAUAGGGCGUAGGGUGUCACUAUAUAAGGAGGAGGGUGCUACUAUAUAGGUAGUAGGGUGCUACUAUAUAGGUAGUAGGGUGCUACUAUAUAGGUAGUAGGGUGCUACUAUAUAGGUAGUAGGGUGCUACUAUAUAGGGUGCCAUUAUAUAGGGUGCCAGACUAGUAAUCCCAAGAGAAGCUAGACCAGGCAGCAUCUAAUCUAGAGACUGUAUAUGUAUCCACAGCUGCACAGACACUAACAAACAGGACACCCACCCAUGCAGUGUCUAGGAUAAGAACCCUUGGCACCUACAUGACAACGAGCUGGACCAUAUCACGUCACACAAAACAUUAAACACACCAGCCAACAGCAACAGCAACAUUUCUAAACUAGAGACUACCAUGGACACACUCUGCUAUGCCUUAGCACUAUGCACUAUAGACAGACAGACCGAUUGAACGUAAGGUUUACCUCUGUCUGAAAAUGUCAUGCACGCAAAAAAAAACUCAGACGAAAAGAAAACGAGAAGAAUAUGCCAAGUAAUAAGAAAACUAAUCUUAGCAGCAGACAUUUUCUUGCUAUUCUGGGGGUGUUUCCUUACGCUGUGCUUGUUUUUCAUAAUGCAGUUUCAACACUUUUUCUGCUUCUCUGGUGGAAAUCACACAAUGGUCAAUACUGAUUGCUUUAUUUUUUCAGUGUUGUACCCCCUCUCGCGUUUGUUAUUGCAGAACAGGAGGGUAUGCAGGACCUGGGAUGGGGGGUUCGGACUGUGGGUGCUGCUGAAACGGCACAAUCUCUCCAUUUCUGUCUAAUAAUGUGAAAACAUGUUAAGGGUUUGUGUGUGUCUGCGUGUGUGUGUUUGUGUGUGUACCAGCUCACCAGACCUGUCCCAGGUAUGUGGACGGUGAGUGGACCCCCAGUACAGAUUCAGACACACAGGUAUGCUGCGCUGUCUGCCACUUCCUGUGGUGUAUCUGUGCAUUGGUGUGUGAUGACGUGCUGAGAGGGCUGGCGGCAUAGACACGGAACACUGGAGAUACCUUCUGUGUUCCAGAACUCAGCAGGAUCCACAACCCAGUAAAACAAUACCUCUGUGGCCUAGCCACUCAAGGCUCUCUCUCUCUCUCUCUCUCUCAUUUUCUUUAUCUUACACGCACGCACGCACACACACACACACACACAGACACACACGCGCACAUCCACACAUAUAUAAACAAAUAACUGUGUUUAAGUGCGUUGAGGAAUGAAUCCACCUACACACCUGCCCAAAAGAAUGUAGGCUUGGGCAGUGUCUUUCCAGUGUGGGGGGCACCUCCCAUGGAGCACUGUGCCGCGGAGCCAUGGGGAAGUGGCUAUUCCUGUGGUGUAGGGGUUAGGGUUCUGUCCCAAAGAGCACCCUAUUCUUAUUAUAGGGCCCUUUUUUGGCCAGAGGGUGUUGGGCAGGGUUAAGGGUAUAAUGUAUACAAGGUUGCUAUUUAGGAGGUACCAGGGAUAUGGAGUAAAGGAGCCGUUGGUUAAACUGGCCAUCAGGAAAACCACUGGCACAGCACUCUGAGCCAAAUGGAACUAAUUCUGACCAUAUCGUGCUGCAUAUGGGAAAACCUCUAAGCCCUAGUGUUCCAGCCCGGAUUAAGCAUGGUCCUGGACUUCAAAAGCACUUUCAAUGGAGAAUCUUAAUUUAGCAUACUUAUAAACCCAGGACUGAAGCUAUAUGAAUGGUAUUGAAACUGGUCAUAUGUGGCUCCUAAAAUUCAGAUAUAAAGAUAAUUUUUAAUACAUCAAAUAUAAUAAGAAUAUGGGACAGGUCUACCUG
This is a long non-coding RNA of Esox lucius (northern pike), 19796 nucleotides long. The record is from Ensembl. NCBI's taxonomy places the organism in Eukaryota, Metazoa, Chordata, Actinopteri, Esociformes, Esocidae.